RNAcentral lists this ribosomal RNA (468 nucleotides) under uncultured bacterium. Its description in RNAcentral is "partial 16S ribosomal RNA". It matches the Rfam family "Bacterial small subunit ribosomal RNA", at positions 28 to 507 of the family's 1533-position model. The record is from RNAcentral.
GACGAACGCUGGCGGCGGGCUUAACACAUGCAAGUCGAACGGAAAGGCCCUGCUUUUGUGGGGUGCUCGAGUGGCGAACGGGGGAGUAACACGUGAGUAACCGGCCCUUGACUUUGGGAUAACUUCAGGAAACUGGGGCUAAUACCGUAUAGGAUCUCCUGCUGCAUGGUGGGGGGGGGAAAGUUGCGGCGGGUGGGGAUGGACUCGCGGCUGAUCAGCUUGUUGGUGGGGGAGUGGCUUACCAAGGCUUUGACGGGUAGCCGGCCUGAGAGGGUGACCGGCCACAUUGGGACUGCGAUACGGCGCAGUGUCCUACGGGAGGCAGCAGUGGGGAAUCUUGCCCAAUGGGCGGAAGCCUGAUGCAGCAACGCUGCGUGCGGGAUGACGGCCUUCGGGUUGUAAACCGCUUUCGCCUGUGACGAAGCGUGAGUGACGGUAAUGGGUAAAGAAGCACCGGCUAACUACGUG